AGUYUGAUCCUGGCUCAGAAUCAACGCUGGCGGCGUGCCUCAGACAUGCAAGUCGAACGCGAAAGCCCCCUUCGGGGGGCAAGUAGAGUGGCGCACGGGUGAGUAACACGUAGGUAAUCUACCUUUGGAUGGGGAAUAACCACCGGAAACGGUGGCUAAUACCGCAUAAUGCAGCGGCACCUAAUGGUGACAGUUGUUAAAGCGGGGGAUCGUAAGACCUCGCGUCUGAAGAGGAGCCUGCGGCAGAUUAGCUAGUUGGUAAGGUAAAGGCUUACCAAGGCGAUGAUCUGUAGCCGGCCUGAGAGGGCGGUCGGCCACACUGACACUGACAUACGGGUCAGACUCCUACGGGAGGCAGCAGUCGGGAAUUUUGGGCAAUGGGCGAAAGCCUGACCCAGCAACGCCGCGUGAAGGAUGAAAUCCCUCGGGAUGUAAACUUCGCAAGAACAGGAAGAAUAAGUAAGGGUUAACAUCUCUUACGAUGACGGUACUGUUUGUAAGCUCCGGCUAACUCCGUGCCAGCAGCCGCGGUAAUACGGGGGGAGCAAGCGUUGUUCGGAUUUACUGGGCGUAAAGGGCGCGUAGGCGGCCACCGCAAGUCGACUGUGAAAUCUCCGGGCUUNACUCGGAAAGGUCAGCCGAUACUGCCGGGGCUAGAGUGCAAAAGGGCAACUGGAAUUCUCGGUGUAGCGGUGAGAUGCGUAGAUAUCGAGAGAACACCUGCGGCGAAAGCGGGUUGCUGGGCUGACACUGACGCUGAGGCGCGAAAGCUAGGGGAGCGA
RNAcentral lists this ribosomal RNA (782 nucleotides) under uncultured Acidobacteriota bacterium. RNAcentral's name for it is "bacterial SSU rRNA". It matches the Rfam family "Bacterial small subunit ribosomal RNA", at positions 10 to 771 of the family's 1533-position model. Lineage: Bacteria; Pseudomonadati; Acidobacteriota. The record is from RNAcentral.